CCCUAGCCCCGAUAGUAGCGGCAUCCUUUUUUGCUUUCUUUACAAAUCUUGCUUUGGAUAAACAAAUGUUAUGAAAGCAAAAAAGAUAUAGCGGAUAGCGGGAUUAGCU
This 109-nucleotide small RNA is filed under the name Epilithonimonas xixisoli. RNAcentral describes it as "Chryseobacterium xixisoli Flavo-1 RNA". It matches the Rfam family "Flavo-1 RNA". The record is from RNAcentral. Lineage: Bacteria; Pseudomonadati; Bacteroidota; Flavobacteriia; Flavobacteriales; Weeksellaceae.